GGGCCCGCACAAGCGGUGGAGUAUGUGGUUUAAUUCGAUGAUACGCGAGGAACCUUACCAGGACUUAAAUGUAAGUUGCAUGAUUCAGAAAUGAAUCUUUCUUCGGACUACUUACAAGGUGCUGCAUGGUUGUCGUCAGCUCGUGCCGUGAGGUGUCAGGUUAAGUCCUAUAACGAGCGCAACCCCUAUCGUUAGUUGCCAUCAAGUAAAGUUGGGAACUCUAGCGAAACUGCCGGUGCAAACCGUGAGGAAGGUGGGGAUGACGUCAAAUCAUCACGGCCCUUACGUUCUGGGCUACACACGUGCUACAAUGGUCGGUACAGAAAGCAGCCACUAUGCGAAUAGGAGCUAAUCUUUAAAACCGAUCUCAGUUCGGAUCGCAGUCUGCAACUCGCCUACGUGAAGGAGGAAUCGCUAGUAAUCGCAGGU
RNAcentral lists this ribosomal RNA (429 nucleotides) under uncultured bacterium. RNAcentral describes it as "bacterial SSU rRNA". It matches the Rfam family "Bacterial small subunit ribosomal RNA", at positions 917 to 1349 of the family's 1533-position model. The record is from RNAcentral.